RNAcentral lists this ribosomal RNA (253 nucleotides) under uncultured bacterium. Its description in RNAcentral is "partial 16S ribosomal RNA". It matches the Rfam family "Bacterial small subunit ribosomal RNA", at positions 524 to 776 of the family's 1533-position model. The record is from RNAcentral.
UACGGGGGGGGCAAGCGUUGUUCGGAAUUACUGGGCGUAAAGGGCGCGUAGGCGGCCUGCUAAGUCGGAUGUGAAAUCCCUCGGCUCAACCGAGGAACUGCAUCCGAUACUGGCGGGCUUGAAUCCGGGAGAGGGAUGUGGAAUUCCAGGUGUAGCGGUGAAAUGCGUAGAUAUCUGGAGGAACACCCGUGGCGAAAGCGGCUCUCUGGGACGGUACUGACGCUGAGACGCGAAAGCGUGGGGAGCAAACAGG